RNAcentral lists this ribosomal RNA (420 nucleotides) under bacterium. Its description in RNAcentral is "partial 16S ribosomal RNA". It matches the Rfam family "Bacterial small subunit ribosomal RNA", at positions 355 to 776 of the family's 1533-position model. RNAcentral also lists the same sequence under 1 other name. The record is from RNAcentral.
UGGGGGAUAUUGCACAAUGGGCGAAAGCCUGAUGCAGCGACGCCGCGUGGGGGAUGAAGGCUUUCGGGUUGUAAACCUCUUUCGCUAUCGAACAAGGCCCGCUUAGGGUGGGUUGAGGGUAGGUGGAGAAGAAGCGCCGGCUAACUACGUGCCAGCAGCCGCGGUAAUACGUAGGGCGCGAGCGUUGUCCGGAAUUAUUGGGCGUAAAGGGCUUGUAGGCGGCUUGUUGCGCCUGCUGUGAAAACGCGGGGCUUAACUUCGCGCGUGCAGUGGGUACGGGCAGGCUUGAGUGUGGUAGGGGUGACUGGAAUUCCAGGUGUAGCGGUGGAAUGCGCAGAUAUCUGGAGGAACACCGAUGGCGAAGGCAGGUCACUGGGCCAUUACUGACGCUGAGGAGCAAAAGCAUGGGUAGCGAACAGG